CUGACGUCUCUAAGAUCAUGUUCUUGGCAUCGACCCGUGUGCCCUGGGCUCCAAACGCGAGGUCCUGAUCAACAGUAACGGUGCCGGGGGAGGGGACAUAGAGGUGACAGCAUACUCACCCACCAAGCGACCAUUGACGUGCCCCGUCAAGGUGGAGGAUGGUGUGUACGCUGCCACCUUCCAGCCAGACGAGGCUGGUCAGUGGUCCAUUGCUGUCUGUUACGACGAUGAGCACAUCCAGGGCUCACCCUUCACCUGCCACGUCUACGACCCUCACAGUCUCAAGCUCCACGGCUUGGAGAAGGGUCCACAUUCUGACGCUGGGAAGUCCUUCACCUUCGUGGUGGACGCUACAGAGUGCGGGUGGGGUGACGCCAAGGUUGACGUGACGCAGGGAGGUCGUUCACUACACUCCAACACGCUGGAGGUCGACCGUGGCCUCUACGAGGUCACCUUCACACCCUCGCAGGCUGCCAAGCACAAGAUUUACGCUUAUUUUAAUGGCCACGAAGUCAAAGGUUCACCCUUCUCACUGCACUUGGGAGUUGAACCUCCGCCUGACAGGAAGGACUCAAAGUCAAAGAAGAAAAAAUCUUCCAGUAGAGAAAACAAAGAUCCCAAG
Molecule: non-coding RNA, 622 nt
Organism: Cherax quadricarinatus
Lineage: Eukaryota; Metazoa; Arthropoda; Malacostraca; Decapoda; Parastacidae
Source: RefSeq, a predicted model, not a curated record